AGUUUUUUGGGGUUUUAUAAAAAAUAGUUUCUGCCCGGUGAAUUUUUAACGGCUGCGGUAAUUUGACCGUGCAAAGGUAGCAUAAUCAUUUGUCUUGUAAUUGAGGACUGGAAUGAAUGGGAGGACCAAAAUUAAAGCUUUUUUAACUGUUUGUUUAAAAAUUUCUUUUUAAGUGAGGAAGCUUAAAAAAACAAAGGGACAAGAAGACCCUAUUGAGCUUUACUUUUAUAAACUAUAGAGAGUUUUUUAGUGAAAAAAGGUUAGGCUGGGGCGGUGGAGGAAGAGAAAAUCUUCCUUUUUUGUUUUUUCAUGAUCCAAGCUUUUUGAAAAAAAGAAUAAGUUACCAUAGGGAUAACAGCGUAAUUUUUUUGGAGAGUUCUUAUUAAUAAAAAAGUUUGCGACCUCGAUGUUGACUUUUAAUAGCUUUUUGGUGCAGGUGCCAGGAAGGUGGGUCUGUUCGACCCUUAAAAUUAA
RNAcentral lists this ribosomal RNA (474 nucleotides) under Hubrechtella juliae. Its description in RNAcentral is "partial 16S ribosomal RNA". It matches the Rfam family "Bacterial large subunit ribosomal RNA", at positions 1829 to 2597 of the family's 2925-position model. Lineage: Eukaryota; Metazoa; Nemertea; Pilidiophora; Hubrechtidae. The record is from RNAcentral.